This 487-nucleotide ribosomal RNA is filed under the name uncultured bacterium. RNAcentral's name for it is "bacterial SSU rRNA". It matches the Rfam family "Bacterial small subunit ribosomal RNA", at positions 43 to 524 of the family's 1533-position model. The record is from RNAcentral.
CAGGCCUAACACAUGCAAGUCGAGCGGGGUGAUGUAGCUUGCUACAUUACCUAGCGGCGGACGGGUGAGUAAUGCUUAGGAAUCUGCCUAUUAGUGGGGGACAACAUUCCGAAAGGAAUGCUAAUACCGCAUACGCCCUACGGGGGAAAGCAGGGGAUCUUCGGACCUUGCGCUAAUAGAUGAGCCUAAGUCAGAUUAGCUAGUUGGUGGGGUAAAGGCCUACCAAGGCGACGAUCUGUAGCGGGUCUGAGAGGAUGAUCCGCCACACUGGGACUGAGACACGGCCCAGACUCCUACGGGAGGCAGCAGUGGGGAAUAUUGGACAAUGGGCGAAAGCCUGAUCCAGCCAUGCCGCGUGUGUGAAGAAGGCCUUUUGGUUGUAAAGCACUUUAAGCGAGGAGGAGGCUACUUAGAUUAAUACUCUAGGAUAGUGGACGUUACUCGCAGAAUAAGCACCGGCUAACUCUGUGUCAGCAGCCGCGGUAAU